AUGAGGGGUCUGUUGGGGGAGGAAGGCCGACAGCCGGGGUAGAAGAUUGGGUUGGAUAGGGGGAUGCGAUCUGGCACACAGAGCCUGGCACAGAAACCUCAACAGAUGGCUGCUGAGCAGCAAGGCUGCAGGGAAGCUCUCAGACUACUUUCGACAAAGAAAAGUGAGAACGGACAGAGGGAAAAGGACAUCAAGUCAGCGUCGCCAUAAGUUGUGAUGUGAAACACUGAGAGAUGAAGUCAAAGCAUCAGCGCUACACCUCCACUGCUUCUCUGCGAACAUAAUUCCCCGAGAGUUAUGUCUACCUUCUCUGACUGAAGUGGUUCAACUUCUCCAUCAACAGACAAUGAGCCCAACCAAAGCCCAACAAAGCGAGUCUUGUUCUCCUCAUGAGGUUUUACUCUACAUUGUAGUGGAAACUGCCUGAACACCGGGCAGUGUGUUCAGGCAGUGUUUAGCCUGAACACCGGGCAGUGUUCAGGCUAAAUGACCAUUAAAGGUCAUUUAGCGCACAUUAUUAUUUCUGAUAAGCCCUCGUUGAACUUCUGAUGGCAAUAAGUAUGCAAUAAAUACA
Molecule: long non-coding RNA, 574 nt
Organism: Xiphophorus maculatus (southern platyfish)
Lineage: Eukaryota; Metazoa; Chordata; Actinopteri; Cyprinodontiformes; Poeciliidae
Exons: 3
Source: RefSeq, a predicted model, not a curated record